AUUGAACGCUGGUGGCAUGCUUAACACAUGCAAGUCGAACGGCAGCAUGGUCUAGCUUGCUAGACUGAUGGCGAGUGGCGAACGGGUGAGUAACGCGUAGGAAUAUACCUUAGAGAGGGGGAUAACAUGGGGAAACUCAUGCCAAUACCGCAUACGUUCUAUGGAAUAAAGCUGGGGACCUUAUGGCCUGGCGCUUUAAGAAUAGCCUGCGUCCGAUUAGCUAGUUGGUAGGGUAAAGGCCUACCAAGGCGACGAUCGGUAGCUGGUCUGAGAGGAUGAUCAGCCACACUGGGACUGAGACACGGCCCAGACUCCUGCGGGAGGCAGCAGUGGGGAAUAUUGGACAAUGGGGGGAACCCUGAUCCAGCAAUGCCGCGUGUGUGAAGAAGGCCUGAGGGUUGUAAAGCACUUUCAGUGGGGAGGAGGAUUGACGGGUUAAGAGCUAGUUAAUUGGACGUUACCCACAGAAGAAGCACCGGCUAACUCCGUGCCAGCCGCCGCCGUAA
Molecule: ribosomal RNA, 506 nt
Filed under: uncultured bacterium
Lineage: Bacteria
Description: partial 16S ribosomal RNA
Rfam family: Bacterial small subunit ribosomal RNA
Source: RNAcentral